Molecule: non-coding RNA, 445 nt
Organism: Parasteatoda tepidariorum (common house spider)
Lineage: Eukaryota; Metazoa; Arthropoda; Arachnida; Araneae; Theridiidae
Source: RefSeq, a predicted model, not a curated record
GCGAUGCCGAAGAUGGGCAAAAGAACAUUUUACGCAUGCGCUCGAUUGCUUAAAGAAAGAUGGACUCUGAGACAAAACGUGUGCUUGUAAUUAAAUAAAGUUUUACUUUUCCUACCUGCAUAAAAUAUAACGAAAAAAUUACACCUGAACCAGUUGGGUUUGAGAGUGAGUCUAAAUACUGAAGACGAUGCUUAAAAUUUUUAAAAAAGAAUUUUCUGAAGUUUCUCACUUUUUCACUAUACAAUCUAAAAAGUCAAACCCUUAAAGUACCAAGAACUGUCGGCUUGUUCAUUCAGCUCCUCUCAGUGCUCAAAGACAUUUCCAGAUAUGAGUUGCUUUCGUAAUUCUAAAUCCUUAUGAAGAUAAUAGAUAUCGCCUUCAUUUUCUGCGUCUUAAGAUAACAAGAUAGCAAACUUCUCAUAUGUCAGAUGCAUAAAUCAACCAC